Molecule: transfer RNA, 22 nt
Filed under: Melomys burtoni (grassland melomys)
Lineage: Eukaryota; Metazoa; Chordata; Mammalia; Rodentia; Muridae
Description: partial transfer RNA Proline
Source: RNAcentral
UUCUAAUUAAACUACUUCUUGA